RNAcentral lists this ribosomal RNA (274 nucleotides) under uncultured bacterium. RNAcentral's name for it is "partial 16S ribosomal RNA". It matches the Rfam family "Bacterial small subunit ribosomal RNA", at positions 523 to 796 of the family's 1533-position model. The record is from RNAcentral.
AUACGGAGGGUGCAAGCGUUAAUCGGAAUUACUGGGCGUAAAGCGUACGUAGGCGGUUAUUUAAGUCAGAUGUGAAAGCCCCGGGCUUAACUUGGGAACUGCAUUUGAAACUGGGUAACUAGAGUUUAGUAGAGGGGAGUGGAAUUUCAGGUGUAGCGGUGAAAUGCGUAGAGAUCUGAAGGAACACCAGUGGCGAAGGCGACUCCCUGGACUAGAACUGACGCUGAGGUACGAAAGCGUGGGUAGCAAACAGGAUUAGAAACCCGGGUAGUCC